Molecule: transfer RNA, 71 nt
Filed under: Marmota monax (woodchuck)
Lineage: Eukaryota; Metazoa; Chordata; Mammalia; Rodentia; Sciuridae
Rfam family: tRNA
About the family: Transfer RNA (tRNA) molecules are approximately 80 nucleotides in length. Their secondary structure includes four short double-helical elements and three loops (D, anti-codon, and T loops).
Source: Rfam by way of RNAcentral
GAGGCUGUGGCUCAGGGGCAGAGCGCUCGCCUGGGGCGCACGAGGCCCUGGGUUCGAUCCUCGGCAGCCCA